AGGUUUUGUUUUUUCAACUUUUUUGUAGUUCUCAAAUUAUUUUGAAAUUUAACGACAUUUUUUGACAAUACACUCAAAACUUGAGACGAAUCCUUUGAAUAAGAAAUACGGUAAGAUAUUCGGGGAAAAUAUGGGCCAAUUUUAAUAUAUAGUAGGUCAGUACUCAUUGAUCCAAAACACUGAUUCACUUUCUAAAUUUAAUAUUUUAUACAGUCAGAAACAUUCAACAAGGCAACCCCUAAAUAACCAGAACAGAAUAGAAAACGUGAACAUGUGAGCAUCAAUAUUAAUAAAGUGAGUAUUUAAAAAUUUUCUAAGUAAUAUAUUAAUAUCAAAGUACAGCAAGUACAACUCGUC
Non-coding RNA from Paramuricea clavata, 357 nucleotides. NCBI's taxonomy places the organism in Eukaryota, Metazoa, Cnidaria, Anthozoa, Malacalcyonacea, Plexauridae. The record is from the annotation of a GenBank genome assembly.